GAGUUUGAUCGUGGCUCAGGAUGAACGCUGGCGGCGUGCCUAAUACAUGCAAGUCGAACGAACAGAUAAGGAGCUUGCUCCUUUGACGUUAGCGGCGGACGGGUGAGUAACACGUGGGUAACCUACCUAUAAGACUGGGAAUAACUCCGGGAAACCGGGGCUAAUGCCGGAUAACAUGUUGAACCGCAUGGUUCUACAGUGAAAGACGGUCUUGCUGUCACUUAUAGAUGGACCCGCGCCGUAUUAGCUAGUUGGUGGGGUAACGGCCUACCAAGGCGACGAUACGUAGCCGACCUGAGAGGGUGAUCGGCCACACUGGAACUGAGACACGGUCCAGACUCCUACGGGGGGCAGCAGUAGGGAAUCUUCCGCAAUGGGCGAAAGCCUGACGGAGCAACGCCGCGUGAGUGAUGAAGGUCUUCGGAUCGUAAAGCUCUGUUGUUAGGGAAGAACAAAUGUGUAAGUAACUGUGCAUAUCUUGACGGUACCUAACCAGAAAGCCACGGCUAACUACGUGCCAGCAGCCGCUGU
Molecule: ribosomal RNA, 531 nt
Filed under: uncultured microorganism
Description: bacterial SSU rRNA
Rfam family: Bacterial small subunit ribosomal RNA
Source: RNAcentral